This 96-nucleotide signal recognition particle RNA is filed under the name Micavibrio sp. RNAcentral describes it as "signal recognition particle sRNA small type". It matches the Rfam family "Bacterial small signal recognition particle RNA". From Rfam's summary of the family: The signal recognition particle (SRP) is a universally conserved ribonucleoprotein involved in the co-translational targeting of proteins to membranes. Archaeal SRP consists of a 7S RNA and homologues of the eukaryotic SRP19 and SRP54 proteins. Lineage: Bacteria; Pseudomonadati; Bdellovibrionota; Bdellovibrionia; Bdellovibrionales; Pseudobdellovibrionaceae. The record is from RNAcentral.
GGAAAGUCGGCGCGGGCGAAAUUUCGCCGAACCCGGUCAGGUCCGAAAGGAAGCAGCCGCAAGUGAAUUUUUUCGGGUCGUGUCCGGCUUUCCACU